RNAcentral lists this ribosomal RNA (880 nucleotides) under uncultured bacterium. RNAcentral's name for it is "bacterial SSU rRNA". It matches the Rfam family "Bacterial small subunit ribosomal RNA", at positions 11 to 866 of the family's 1533-position model. The record is from RNAcentral.
GUUUGAUCAUGGCUCAGAACGAACGCUGGCGGCGUGGAUUAGGCAUGCAAGUCGAACGCGAAAGGGGAGCAAUCCCUGAGUAGAGUGGCGAACGGGUGAGUAACGCGUGAGGAACCUGCCUUCAACAGGGGGAUAACACUCCCAACGGGGUGCUAAUACCGCAUGAGACCACGGGAUCGCAUGGUCCUGAGGUCAAAGGUGGCCUCUACUUGUAAGCUACCGGUUGAAGAUGGCCUCGCGUCCCAUUAGCUAGUUGGCGGUGUAAAAGACCACCAAGGCGACGAUGGGUAGCUGGUCUGAGAGGAUGGUCAGCCACACUGGGACUGAGAUACGGCCCAGACUCCUACGGGAGGCAGCAGUCGAGAGGCUUCGGCAAUGGGGGAAACCCUGACCGAGCGACGCCGCGUGAGGGAUGAAGGCCCUUGGGUUGUAAACCUCUUUUGUUCGGGAAGAAAUGCGAUCAGGUGAACAAUCUGGUCGUUUGACGGUACCGGACGAAUAAGCUCCGGCUAACUCCGUGCCAGCAGCCGCGGUAACACGGGGGGAGCAAGCGUUGUUCGGAAUCACUGGGCGUAAAGGGCGUGUAGGCGGUCCGGUAAGUGAGAUGUGAAAUCCCUCGGCUCACCCGAGGACCUGCAUCUCAAACUGCCUGACUCGAGUACGGGAGAGGAUGUGGGAAUUCCUGGUGUAGCGGUGAAAUGCGUAUAUAUCAGGAGGAACACCGGUGGCGAAAGCGCACAUCUGGCCCGAUACUGACGCUGAGGCGCGAAAGCUAGGGGAGCAAACGGGAUUAGAUACCCCGGUAGUCCUAGCCGUAAACGGUGAGCACUAGGUGUUGGAGGCAUCGACCCUCCCAGUGCCGCAGCUAACGCAUUAAGUG